AACUUUCUGGCUCCCUCUCUGCUGGGGGAACAUCGGUGGCACCAACACGGAGCAGGCAGCGUGUGCAGGGAGGGGGCUGUGAAUUUUAGGAAGGGGGUCGCGGUACAUCAUAGUGGGGGGCACCCAUUUGCCAACACCUGCCACCCUUCCCAUUGUCCCUGCUCUCCUCUCCCUGACACUGCAUCACUGCCACCAUCCUCCAGCCCUUCUUGUCCUACAGUGCUGGCAUUCCACAGCCCGGGUGUCCCCAGCCUGAGAGCACCGCUGACCCCGUCCUGCUGUCCCCAGCGACCCUCCAUCCUGCAGCCCCCACGGUUCCACCCCAUUGUCACCCAAGCCCCAUUCCCGAUCCCCUCAGCCUGUGUCUCUUCCAGUCUCCCCAUCUCGAGCUCCCCAGCCCCAACAGCCCCCUCGGUAUCCCCAGCCCCCAGUCACAGCACAGCCCUCUUCCCAGCCCCCCUCACCCCAAUACACCCCGAUGUCCCCCAACCCCAAUCCCUCCCUCCGCAGCCCCGGUACCCGCAUCCCCCCUCCGUGACAACCGCGUUAUUCCCAUCCCCGAUCCGUCCCGCUCGUGUCACAGCGGUGCCACCGCCCCCAUCCCCGGCCCCGCCGGCACCGGGCACCGCAGCGGGGGCGCGGCGCGGGCGGAGCCGGUACCGGUUCCCCGGUACCGCACGUACCUGGGGCCGUGCUCACGGCACGCAGAGGGUCAUCGCCGCCGGUGGAGCCGCGCACCGAGCGCCCCGCCGGCACCGGGGGCUUAAAAGCGGGGAGCGGAUGGGGGGCAGCGGGGCCGGGUCCCCCGGAGGGGGCCGAGCCGGGCCGGGCCGGGCCAAUCGCGGCUGGCGGCAGGCGCGGCCCCCCCGCCGGUGCCGCCCGCACCUGCCCGCAGCGGCGGAACCCAAACCCGCUCCGCGCUGCCCGGUGCAGGGCGAGGGGCGGCCGCGCAUGCGUCGCCGCCCCCUUUCCCCCCCCGUUCCCCCCCAGCAAUCGGGGCCGCCCCCUCCCCUGAGAGCGGGGCCACCCCCCGCCGCCGGCACCGCAGACCCCGGCGUUGGAGCGGAGCGGGUUUUCUCUGGGGGCGUCUCUUUCCAUGCCGCCCCCCCCCCCGGUGCAGCGUGUCCCCGCAUCCUGCCCCGGCACCGGGGGGGUUUUGGGGUGUCACCACGCAGGAUGGAUUCCCUGCAGCCCUCUCCACCCCACUGGUGUGUGGGGACAGGCUGGCUCCAUGCAUGUUUCUGGGGGCGUCUGGAUGAAGGACACCUUCCCCAUACCCCUAAACCCCUGCUGCACUUAGCACCCUGCAGCCCCCCAAACCCCCAACCCCGUGUCCCACUCAGCCCCACGGCAGCUGGAAGGAGUUGA
RNAcentral lists this long non-coding RNA (1368 nucleotides) under Coturnix japonica (Japanese quail). Its description in RNAcentral is "lncRNA (ENSCJPG00005011169.1)". The record is from RNAcentral. Lineage: Eukaryota; Metazoa; Chordata; Aves; Galliformes; Phasianidae.